UUUUAAACUUAUACAAUUACAUUUUUACAGAGUAAGUGUCACAGAAGGGACGACAUUCAGUUCAGUAAUAUAACAGGACGUCAGGCUUGGAGACUGGAGACGGAUACCACAGACAGCAAACAGGAUGAAGACUAAACGAGGAACCAGGAGACACCUCACUAGGAGAGACACUGGA
RNAcentral lists this long non-coding RNA (175 nucleotides) under Danio rerio (zebrafish). RNAcentral's name for it is "lncRNA (ENSDARG00000117585.1)". The record is from RNAcentral. Lineage: Eukaryota; Metazoa; Chordata; Actinopteri; Cypriniformes; Danionidae.